Molecule: long non-coding RNA, 12816 nt
Organism: Columba livia (rock pigeon)
Lineage: Eukaryota; Metazoa; Chordata; Aves; Columbiformes; Columbidae
Exons: 3
Source: RefSeq, a predicted model, not a curated record
ACAGCAUGGUCAGGGCAGGUUACUCUUGUGUGCCCAUUCCUCAUGUAAAAAGCCUGACUCUCAAGGCAUCUGCUGUAAGAAGCAAUCACUGUGUCCAGAAAAAUGAUCAAGACUUGUAAGAACUCUAAAAGCUGCAGAAAAAAAUCUGUUUUUGUCAUCAGUUGUCUCUUAAACUGUGGGUGGCAGCAGUGUCCAGGCAGAGGGAAUUUUUGGAAGCCUCUACUAGGGCCCUGACCUCAACUGAAUGUUUCUGGAGGAGGCAGUAUUAAUUGCUGCCCCAAGACUGGAAGGCUAAGCUCGCAAUAGGCAGACACAUUAGUUUGUAAAUGAAGGAUUAGCUCAGGAACUCUUGCUAAUAACCUAGUUCAGUAGCUCCAUAAUCACCACGGUGUGAUGCAAUAUGUGAAUCUGCAAAGUCAAUUUACAGAACAUUGGGAAAAUAUUGUUACCUGUUCAUGGCAAACACAAACACAAUCUGAUUUAGCCAGCCACCUGACAACUUUCACCAGACCUUUGGAAGACACCACUGGAGACACAAGUCAACAGGUUUGAACAAUGUAUGACCCACGGCAAACUCAUGGAUAGAACAAAGCUGAAGAAACCUAUCCAGAAAGGCUGAGCUGCACAAUUCUGGUAUGGCAAAGCAAGAGGUAAAAUCUGAAUUACUUAUUUUACUUUAAGAUAGAGACUUUUAGCUACAAAGUUGACAUUUUCAAAUAUCUAUCAAACCUUUAAUUCUGAUGGAAUGAUUUCAAAUACAUUUUAAUGGUCAAGGGUUUGUUUGGUUUUUUCACAUUUAUUUAGAAACACUGUUUCACUACUGAUAAAAACACAUAGUGAUCUGAAUUUGCUAAUGAAUCUUAAACAUAAACGUAAAUAUUAUUGGAAAAAGCUUCCAGUAAAAAUCUACCUGUACAGCUGCUUUCUCAUUUUAGUGGUUAUCAGGUACAUAAGAAAUGUCACACUGUUUCCAGGCUACAUUAUAAUACUGAGUCUGCUGGUAAUAGACUUUGUAAUGAUUUACUCAUUCACUCACUCACUCAUUCAUUCAUUCAUUCAUUCAUCUACUGAGAUGAAGUAGUCAUGUGGCUUGGACCUCACUUUGUUCUAGCAGCAGUAUAUAAUUAAAGAAAGUUGUUCAGCUUUCUUAGGCACCUUUUGAGAAGUCUUUCAAUUUCUGUAUUAUUUUGAGAUCUCUACCUGCAAUCUGGACUCCUGCUGAUGUUAGGAGGCAUUCGGUAUUCUGAAAGACAAUAUAAUAUAGACUGAAUUUUAUUUUGUAUAUCCUCAAAAAGUGUAAUCCUAUUACUCCCAAAGGCCAAUUUCAAAUUUUGCAUGGUUUGACCUAGAAAAUAGUGAUCUUUCUGUAUACAUAAGGAGGUUUUCUUACAUUUGUGAGGCCUAUAUAACUGUAUUUUGCAUAGAUAUGUUUACCUUUGUCUGCUAAUACAUGUCUCAUACUUUGUUUUUGACAUUAUUUUUGGCUAUGUCUGGUCAGUGCCAUGUAGGGAUUUACACAAGAGUGAAUCCCAGAUCAGCAUUGGCAUAAUUCUAUAACCAGCACAGCAUAAGUGCUAGUACAGUUAUGUGGCUUCUGAUUUGACACCUCGCUUGUGUGACAGUAGCUGGGGUAUCUUCUCACAUCCCAGCAUAGCACAGUGUAAAUAUAAACCUUUCACUGAUAUAUCUGUACCUAGGUUCAGAACAAAAACAUUACCUGAACAAUCUUAAUAAUAAUAAAAAUUAAUAAUAUAAAUAAUAAAAAUAUUGAAAAUAUCCUGUUCAGAAAACAGAUAUGAAAAUUGCAUGCCAGAAAUGAACUCACGCAAUCCUUUGGCAAGUGUGAAUGAUCUUGUUAAGUAAUCACUGCUGUUUCAUAAGGUCUCUGCCCCACUCAUUUUCUCACAAAUAGACAUCUAGGGAAUUUCAGGGGACAGAGAGUGUUCAUCGUAAUCUAAAUCUUCAGAGAAUUUUGUUGUUAGAUUUCAAGGCUCCAUCGAACUGAGAUUUUAUAAUUACACAAUACAGAUUAGAUGGGGUUGGCAGUUUAUUAGAUAGGAAAAAGUAUGCCCUUGCAAAUAUGAGGGUACUAUGCUUCGGACUCUGCUUGGAGGUAUGGCCCUUCAUUAAAGGAGUUUAAACAGUUUUUUAAAGAUAAAUAGAUAUUCUUGCAUUUUUCUCCCUUAAAAAUAAACGAAAAACAACAACAAAAAAAAUGAGCUAUAUUAGCUGAAAUUAAAAACAAACAAACAAACAAAAACACAACAUAGUCUGAGAAGAAAAUUUUCAUAGUAAUUUUGGGAAAACUAUAAAAAAAAAGAAAACCAUGGAAUCUUAUGGUAUAAAAUUUUGAGCAGUAUUACUGUGAUGAAAUCAUGACUAUUUGAUCAUAUACAGGUAGAAUUCUUGUCUUCUAAAAAUGUUAUCAUAAAUGGUUAACUACGGUAUUAAAAAGUUUGCAAGUUAUAUGUGAGGUUGUGAAGAAAUCAUCCUAGUUUCUUACACUUUCUGGUAUGUUUUGCGUAAUAAGACUUUUUGUUCCGUUAAUAGUUUUGCAGGAAGAAGUUGAUUUAUAUGGGUUUUUUUUAGUGGUUUCCUCAAAUGUUAGGCACAUCAUCAUUCCAAGUCUCCCCACUGAGUGCUUGCUUGCUAGUAUUGGAGACUUGCAACAAAACAGAGUUGCAACAACUAGAAUUUGACCUUCAAUACACAGAUGCCCAUAUCCUUUGAGAGACAUGCAUUUAAUAUAAGUUUUUGUUAUAUAUUUUUUUUUUCUUUUUCUCAGGUGGAAGCAUUUCUUUUUGCUUAUGGAAACUGUGUUUGACCUUUACAGUAGGAACUAAUGAACCUGUGCUGGCCAGGGGCCAGAGCUCUUGGUCCAGCAUGGAGGGCAGCUGCCAGGAUGGCAUCUUCCAGGCAAGGAAAUUACAUGAUCACACUGCCACCUGUUUUCAAAGAGCUACAUUGGUUGCUGGGUUGCUCGUUUGUCAGGUCACCUUGUUGUAGCACGGCCAAAUCAUGCUGGGUCCUGAGCUCACUGGCUUUCCAGCACCCUGGGUGCCUUGGGCAGAGCCUGCCUGAGGCUGGCCAAACAAUUGACACUAGAUGUAGGAAAUCUGAUGCAAUCUCUUAAGAAUAGUAACUUAAAAAUGUCAGGAACCGGUUUUUUUUUUCCUCCCUUUACAUGUAGAUGUCAGCGACGACAAAGAGAAAGAGGCCAGUGAUGCCAAGGAGAGUGUCAAGUAGUUGUACUAAAGCACAAACUGAUUUCAGCAAGCUGCACAUAGUUUCUGCUCAUACAACAGCAAUUUUUGACUGGGAUUUACUGCACGAGAUAAAAGAGAACCCUGUAUCAUGAGUGUGCUGAAACUAAACUCCCAGCACAGCUGAUGUGCAUGUCCGAUGCAUCUGGCUGGCUGGUUAGGAAUGCCUUAGAAACACAAUGCUUGGUUAGCCAAACCAACAGCAUUUCCUAUGAACUCAUCUCCAUGAGGCUGGGAACAAGCUCUGGCUUUUCUGUUCAUGUCUUGUGAUAGCUUUAUCAGAAAACCAGCUGAUGAAGAAAGAAUGGGUCCUGGUUGGUGGUUUAAAUAUUAAAACUGUCCUUCUGAUAUCAAGCAAAAAAAUCUUCUCUGAGUGGCUUUGAGAAAGUUGGUAUUUGGAGUUUAUGCUUGCUCAGAAGCAGAUGCAUCCAGAGCUGCAUGGAGCAAGGUAAAAGUAAUGUAAUAGGAAGAAAAGAUGGGUUGUGCAGUGGCUCUCCUACUUCGUAGUUUAGACCACUCAUUGCACCACACAGUUACAAAGUGGAAAAAUCUGAAGCUCUCGAGGUAAAUCUACCCUUGGUCACAUCUACAUUGGGAACAUGAGGAACUCCCCCAAAGCGCUGCACUAAUACUGCAACAAUGUGCAGUGCCGGUGGAAUGCAGCUGGUGGAACAGAAAAGCUACAGCUGUGGUGCCAGCUGCACUUCAUACUUUUUCUAACCCUGCACGAAGUUCAGCUAUCAAGAUUCUUCUUGCAAUGUCAGUAGCUGCGCCUAUUUGCAAUAUGCAUUUACAGACACUUUUUCCUUUUCUGUUUGGUCAGAGCUCAUAACCCUUCAAAUGCAGGAAGGCUUCCCCAAACUGUCAGAAAUAAGGCCACUUGACUUGAAGGGUUCCCCUCAAAUGAAACAUUUCACACUAAAGCAGAAUGAAAUAACACUGCUUGCACAUUGCUGGCUUCCCCCAUCCCCAGCACACAUACACACUUUUUGACUCAGCAACCAUGCUGAAAAAGAUCCAUUAUUUGUGUAGCUCUAGAAUUUAGAGUGAGACCCACAAAGGACUCAGGUUACAUCCAUGCGUGCACUGCGGGCAGACACAAGCAACCUCUGUCCACACUCUAAGCUCACAAAAAGCCCACGUGACUAUAGUUUAGUGAGUCACUGAACCUCAGCUAACAUGCUCUGCUGAGACGAACAAACAAAUAUUCUAACUGCAGGGUAAAACCUUUAAAAAUGUGUUUACUGCUGCCACAUUUCUUGGUAUCCAAUCAAGUGUUUAUCAGCACUAUUUUGUGGUAAUGUCUAGAAACCCCUGGCUCCUGCUGUGUUAAGUAGAAAAAAAGAAAAGAGAAAGACGCAGUUCCUACCCUUCACAGUUUGUGUUCUAGCAAAAGGUAGAAACAACCAGAAGGUAGAAGGGAUAAAAUAAGCUGUUGAAUUACUCCAGGGUCACCUUUGCUUUGAACAAAAUGGUGCCUGCCUAUCCCAUCAUCUUCCUGCAUUUUCUUUGGGAUGAUGCAAAAGGAGUCUUUUCAGGAUUUAAAUCAUACAUAAAACAUCUAUGGGACUAGGCAAAGCAGUAAGAACAACAUUCAUUUUUUGGCCUUGGUAAUUACGAUUUAUUCAUUCUUACUUUAACCUACCCUUAGUGGAACUGGAAAGUAAAAUUUAAUGCAUAUGUGCACUUCCAAAACAGUAGAGCAGAUUGUGGAAACUGCAUCAUCAAAGCUUUUCUGAAGCAGAGCUAGCCUUUCCCCUUUAUGCCUUAGUCUCUUGUUACACAUAUGUUAUGUUACAUAUUAACUGAAGUUGUGGAUGAUUAUGGAAAGCUGCUAUCCUCUGGGUCGAAAGAGUGGCUGUUUAUGGGAGAUGAUGCCUGAAGCUGCUCAUAGAGGGCAUUACCACCCAGCGAGAGCAAUUUUUUUUCCAAUCCAAUGGGUAUUCUUGUGCUUACAAGCUAAAUCCUCUUUGUAAAUAAAGUGAAUAGUGCUUUUGGAUGUAUAACUCUCAAAAACUAGAAAGGGCUGGGUAAUUCCAAAUGGGCGGUGCUCAAUACUUCCUUGAAAUGGGCCUGUUAGUGAGCUCCUUGAAAAGCCCCAGACAAUAAAAUCACAAGUCAAUUUUAAAAGUCUCCACCUAAUUGAAUGUACAUUUUAUUACAUCCUUUAAAAUAAAAGCAACAGUAAAUGAUCAUAUGCUCUGAAGUUGCUUGGAUAUUACAGGAAUAAGCCCCUGCAUACUUAUUAUCAACACUUACUUCCCCAGUGCCCUCUAAUCCUGAGCAGUCAUCUGCUUUAUUGCUCUCUUUUCAGAGCUCAUGGCAGCAUGGCACAAUCACUCCACUUGCCUUCCAGACAGCUUGAUACCAGUUGUUUUGGGAUGUUGUCAAUGAGGGAAGCAUUCCUGUGUAAUGACUUCAGGACUGAGUCUGAGGUAGAUCCUUGCUCAGAAGGAAAUCAGAGUCUUUGAUUACAUACCUAAUUCUGUCUACAGAUCUGUUAUUUAUCCCUCAAUACUGAGUAUUACAUUGGUUUUAAAAAUAAUCCCCUGGACAUAACUCUGAACAAUCUGUUCAAAGCUUUUAAAUUAGCUUUGCUUUGAGUAAGGCUGGUACUAAAUGACCUCCAGAGGUCUCUUAAAAAAAAAUAUUCAGUGACCCUGUGUUGUUAUCAUGUGGCCCAUGAACUUUUUGUAAACUUUCAGGCAUGUUUGCACAUUGUUGUGUAUAUGAAUGACAAAUCUAAAACUAAAACUAAAGCUGAUCUUUGCCAAUAAAUCUACAUGGCAUAGAGCAUCAUUUCACAGACAUACUGACUCCAGUCCCAAAGCAUUAGAAAUAUUGCUUAUGAUCCAAUCUGAUCACGCGAGGAUCCUUGAGAUCUUAUUGUACAGCUUACUAUUCAAGGCACAAUGGCCUAGAACAACUCUAGGCCUCCAAAAAGCAAGGACAAGCUGUUGCAACCAUUGCAACCAAGGUUAUCUUUUCUUCUGCACCUGUUGUCCAGUGGUGCAAAUGCCACCCUUUUUUUCAGUCUUCCCUCUGUUCAGCCUGGAGAACUCCAAGUCCCACCAAUAUUUGGUCAUGCUCUGCUUAACACAACAGGAACAAAAGGCACUUAGCACUUCACUUUUUGAUACCUCAUAGUGUUGGGCCCUGUGUUACAUCAUGUAUUACAUUACCUUAUUGUCAGGAAGCACUUAAAUUCCUGCUGAUUUCAAGGAGUGUAUAUUCGUAACCAGUAAACAGAGAUACACAAAGAGUUCGAAUAAGCAGUUCCGUUUUCCCACAACCAUGAAAAGACCUCAUAAUAUAGAUUUGUAAAGAAUCCUGUCUACAGGUAUUUACUACAGGUAUUUGAAGAUUAUUUUACACAUAAUUUACAAAGAGCUUUGUUUUACUGGAUUUUCAUAGGAAUCAAGAAACCUCACUGGAUGCGGCAUCCUGGUUUUAGCUAGGAUCACAGAGGCUAUGUCUCUAGCAGUUGACUAGCACAAAAUAUAGAAUUAAUCCCACCAAACUUUUGUCAUCCAGAAGUUAGGCGUCUCAUCUGUGUUACCCACUGAGGACUCCUUUACAGUUUGUGCAAAGAAGGUAUCUUAACUAGGCAGAAUAAAUAUUUGCCUGAAAGUAUCCAGUUCUCUCCAUUGACUACAGAGAAAGAAUUGACUGUAUGAGACAAAUAUCUGACAUUUAAUUCACUGGGAAAUCACUUAAGUUUCUAUGUGCGUUAUCUGAAUGUGCUCAAAUGAAAAAAUAUGCGAAAUAAGCUAAAGGAGAUUUGGAUAUGUGAAAGGAUUUAUUUUUCAGUUUAUUCAAAUAUUGAACUCUUUACAUUAAUCUGAGUUGAACGGCUAUACUUUUGUCAAUACACAGUGGAAAACAGCACUGCAGUUUCUGGAGUUAUUGCUAUUUUAGUAGACAGCAAGAGCUGAGCGUCCUCAAUAACACUCAAGAUAAGCCCUUUAAAGUAGUUAUUUAAGACAUAAGAUUCAGGAGGUUUCUAUGGAGAUGGCUCUUUUUGUGUAGGUGUAUCAAAAUAAGCAUUUGCAUCAAAGGAGAGUUCUGGAAAACGGUUGUUACAAAUUCCAUGUUUUUUGAUCCAUAGCUUGUCAUAUAGUAUAAUAUUAUAUCCCUGAUCUUAAUAUUGAAGCCAGAAGAAGUAGUAGGAUUUCACCAACUCUGCAAAUCAGAUCAUGCAGAUUAAAUUCAGUCCCAUGAAAUCCUGCCUUACAGCAGAAAUAUCUUCACUCUACUUACAUCCCAGAAAACAAUCCAGAGCAUGACCGAUGCUGGCUCCUUUCAACAUUGAUGUUAGGUCCUUCCUUCCCGCUUUCUGCAGCUUUCUUUAGCAGGUACCAUACAGCACUGAUGUUUGCUCCAAGCCACCCCACUUAGUGAGACAGGUGUCCAUGUCCUGUCCAAACUCUGUCACAAUUUCUGCAAAUUCCCUAAAUCCUGCCUAAUCCCAAAGUCAUUGGGGCUUUGUAAUGAAGCCAAGAUGUGGUGGUGCCCCACACCCCUGCACCUGCAUGAUGAGGUGAAAGCAUGGACAUCCCUCAGCAUCUCUGUCAGCAUCUCAAAACUACAGCACCCAUUUCCCUGAUAUAAAUCCCAGCUAUAAAAAUGCAGAGUAGCCUGCUUGGGCAGAUGUCCCAUCUUGCUGACAAGCUGUCACAGAGGUGAGAACACUGGCAAGGGGAACUGUCUGACAGGGGUGCAGUGCCUGGCGGGUGCUGCUGUGGCUGUGUGACCUCCAGCACCAGGCACGGGUGAGGAUGGAGCUCUGCAAGACACUCUCUUCUCCCAUAGGCACCAAGUUCAGAUGUUUCUUUCUCCCUAUCAGUCACAGAGACUCUGCACUUUUUCUGACUGCAUCUUUGGCUUUUUUACCUUGCAUCUCUAAGAUCCUCUGCUGCUUUUCUCACUUUAGAACUCACAUCUUUGCAAAAGUGUAACCUGAAAAUUCCCUCUGAUUCUGAGUGCCUGCAAAUGUGUUUGGGAUGGUGUGACGCAGAUGGGGGCACACUUGGGAUUGAGGCAUCUACUGGUUAAGCUCUUUAGGUCCAUUCAGAAACUUAAAUAUUUGAACAGCUAUCUCAAUGAAGGGCAAGGGGUAACACCCCUCUGUUUUUCAGAAAAGAAAAUGUUUUCAGGCUGCAAUGUUUUUCUAAACCCUAUUAACCAUACUUCCUAGUGAAGUUAGAUAGCCUGCAGAUUAAAGUUCAAGAAAGUGUAUUUGCUGAACCCAUGAAUAUAUGAACAUACUUUAGGGUAUUGAUUUGCUGUCAUCAGCUACUGAAAACCAGAAAAGCAUUUUACUUUAAAAAAACAGAGGUUUAAUAACUUGCUAUACCUUUAGACCUCCUCCCUGAGUUAAAAAUUAACCACUGUAGUUAACGAAUGUCUAUCAGCUAGCAGCAAGUUCACUCCAAAUAUUCAAAUAGAAUUGACAUCUGAUCCACAGCAAUUUCAGCUCACGUGAUUACAGACAUCUACCAGAUCAGAUUCAGGUUCAACUUUCACUGUUCACUGCCACUAGGCUAAGAUUUACUCUUGACCCAAAUUUUUCAGCUGCUCACAUAGAAAAGAAAUGGAUAGAUUCAAAUUCAAAACAGGACUAUGUACCUAUGGUAUAAAUAAUAUCUAAGAAUUUGUGACAUCAAAAAAGAAGUAGAAAAUCUACAUAUCAAGACAAGCACAUGAAGGAUUUAAAGAAAAGCCCUAAAUAUUUUACAUAUACACAGAUGUCACAGUAAACAUACUCCAAAGAGCACUAAGGGAACUAGUUAAUGGAAUGUUCAAGAAGAACAUCUUGUACAUUUUACUGAAAGAACAUUACAUUGUCUGGAAGAACAGUUUGAAGGAAUGAUUAAUACUAUCACUGGCUUCUGUGAAGAAUGAUUGCGGGAGUCUAAUUUGAUUAACCAAAAUGGCAUACACUGUAUCUAGAUGGUAUUAAAGAUAGUAUAAAGAAAAGAACGCUGUAUAUAUGCAUAAAAAGGGAGUAUUAAUUACCAGUUAAAAUACAUAUUAAAAUGGAUAAGAAGCACUUGAAAUGCAUCAAUUUUUUUUUUUUUAAUAGCUAAGGUUUUUUGGGUUGUACAAUAAUCAUUAAAUGAAGUUACAUAGUAAUACAUGGAAUGUCUGUUUCUUUCAUAUACCAAAUCAGAGCUGUAGAGAUUAUUGCAAUAACUAUAACAUGUUUUCUAGUGUGAAAUAAAUAAGCCUUAAGAGUCCCAUUAUUUCAUGUCUCUGUGUGGGGAUUUAUGCACAUCCUUCUCAGCACCAUUAGCAGAGAUAAAACUUAUGUAUGCAAAUCCUAAGAUAGCACAUGGAGAAUAGACUGGUAAAUUUUGCAGAAUAGCUAUUACCCUGAAAUUAUAGGGAAAACACAAAAAGGAACUCUCUGGUAAGAAAUUAAGUAUUCUGGGCUUGAUAUUUAUGCCCAGAGCACAGCAGAUGGGAAAAAGUAUAAAUUGUAAGAUUAAGAUGUAAAAUAGUACAAUAGAGAAUGUUUGUCCCUGUACUCCUGUCAUGGGCUGGCAAUGCCAGAGGGCAUUGCAGAUAUUAACUGAAAGCAUGUUAAUCUGAAGGUGUGCUGAGUGGGAACAAAGAGCUGUAUUCAGAAGAUGUGCCAUAGGUACCUGAUUCAGUAGCUGGAGUUGCUCUGGGAUUUAAGGUCAGGAGGGUGAUGAGUGAACCAAGCUCUUGACCAGGGCUGGCACACCCCAGUUUCCUGCAGAAGCAAUGGAGAGGCACAAGUAUAGUAAAAUUAGGUAACCCAACUCCUCCUUAUAUAUUGCAGGAUAUAGUUUUAGUCUGUGGAAAGUUAUGUUACAGAAAAUAUUAGAGGAAUAAAGAUAAAUGUGCUAAGCACCCCCAUCUCUGUAUAGUCUGUUCCCCAGAGUAGUUCAUGAAGCUCAGGAUUCCCAGUACCACUCUGGGCUUGGGGCACAUGUUGCUUUGCUUGUGCAGUCUCUCCCACUGCUAGGCUUUGCUGUUUAUGGGUAACCACUUAGCAGAGCCCCUCUAUACCUCUUUUUUCAUUUCUCAUUGCCCCUUACUCUGGAGUUGAGCAAUGGCUAAGAUCUUUUACCUUAUUUUUGCUUUUAGGAUAGCUUUACAUUCAAGAUCUCACCUUGCCUGUGAAUCAAACUGUGCAUGCCGUUCUUUUGUGUACGCCUUAGAUUUUUUUCCAAGAGAUGAUGGGACACAUUUUAUUCACCUGCAACUGUACACAGAGCUGGGCAAAUACUGCAUGUGUCUUUCUGGAUGACAAGACAAUAGUUGAUGCCAGAAAGCAUCUCUGACACCUUCUCCUUUAUUAAUUAUGGUUUUAUGUAAUUAAUGUAAAUAAUGUUGAUUUAGUAUAUCAUGUAAUUGUAGUACGUUGUUAAUUGUAUCAUCUGGAGAGUUACUGAAUAUGAAAAAAGAUGGUGACUUUGUUUUCCUGAUCAACCAAAUGAUUUUAAACAAUAUAUGUUUAGACAACCUCUGAUUUAGGGACGGUGGGAAUGUUGUUGAUGUCAAGUUAGUUUCCUGGAAGUUCCUGUUCUGCUGUGAAAAUUAAAGCCGAGGAACCACAAUAGCCCUACUAGAUUUUCUAUCAUUAUAUCUGUAACAGAAUUAAUCUUGUAAUAGACUAUAGGGCACAUUGACAGGUACCAGAGCUCAGUUGUACCGGGAAUGGUGCAAAAAAAUGACAAAAGGAAACUCCUUGUUCCUGAGCUGCUAAAUAAAUAUCCUGAUAUGCAACACAGCUAAGCGGAGCAGUUAACAGUUUCAGUAACUAUUCAUCCCUCUAGUAUAUAACAUUAAUUAAUAUUUAUUUUAAAAGUAAUAAUUUUAUUUGGCAAGUGCCAAUGGUCUUUCCAGUUUUUCUUUAGCAAGAAUAAUUUCAAAGUUCAGAUAAUAUCUACUUCCCUACUGCUUCUGUUAAUGGAGAGUGCGCCUACUAUCGUUUUGAGUUACGAAAUUUAAUUGCCCAGAGUGGCAGAUACUUAUUUUCAACAGCUGCUGAACAAACUCUUUAAAACGCUAUAAUUGUAUAUACAAGAAUAUUUAAUGUAUGCCUUGUGGCAUUAAAAAUGUAAGUGUAUGUGAGAGAGAAAAAUCUCAUGGGCCUUCUGAAACAUCUUCAUUUGGGGAGGGACACAUCUUGUGCUUUAUUCUGUUCUCCCAUUUAUUAUAGACAGAAGUACUUCAUUUACAUGGACUUUUCCUCAUUUGCACAAGUAGCAGUGAAAGACGUCUUCAACUCUUCCUUUCAUGGGCUUCUUUUUCAAUGAACAUGAACACCUGAAUACCACGCCUUCUUUAGUAGUCACUGUGUAGUGUUUGUUUGUGUGAGAAUCACUAUGUAUUUUCUCCCUAGAAAUAUUUUCAUCUCAUAGUUUGUAGUUCUACAGACAAAUGAACUUUUUUCUCUUACAAGAGAUACAGCCUAAUAUCUGCUACCACAGACUUACUUGAUAUCCCAUCAUAUGUUGUGCAAGUGACCUAUUUGAAUAGGUUUUUGACUACAGCAGACAAAUACUAUGAUAAAAUCUUCACAAUAAGGCAUACAGAAAUUAUCUACUGCAGUAGAUAAUGCAUUGAUUUCUGGGUGGUGGCUAGGGAUUGCAGCACUUACUCUCCUCCAUAAUUCCCAGAGGGCUCCCAAAGUUGAUGGCUCCCAUCAGUCUGGCUGAGGUUCACUAUAAGCUGAAGAAAAAUCCAGCAAAGCUUAGCAUGAAAUAGCUGUGGGCAGAAAAUAGUACAGUAGCAAAUAAAGGUUUUAACCAUUUGACUAUUAGGUAAAUCAAUCAAAAAGUUUGUACUACCAUUAGCAAUCUGGACUAAGAAGCAGUUUGCACUAAAUAUCAGGAGCUGAAAACUGAGACAUGACUUGUGGUACUCCACAGACGAAAGAACUGAGACCUUUUGCCCUGGAGGGAUAGAUAUACGAAAGAAAAGUAGUUAUCUGAUAUCAAAGAGUACUGUCUAGAUUACAGCAGCAAGAUAAAGCUGCUGAAGUGCUGAAACUCUCUGAAUUAAAAAAAAAAAAAAAGGCGUUUGGCCUACUCUGUGGGGGCAUGCCUUUUCCAUUAUACAGUUCACAGAGUUAUAGUUUAGCUACCUAGGCAUGCCCUCUUUUCAGUGAUAGAGUCAGUGACUUUCCUAACCUAGGUCAUAUAAAUGCUGCCAGGGGAUCCAUUAAGUGCACAGUGUAAUUCCCAACGUUCCCAGAGAAGAACUGUUUUUUUUCCUUAGCUGUAUAUUUGCUGUCGAUGAACUUCGGCAUUGAGGGACUUCGAGGAUAACAGCUCUAAAAUUAACUCAAAGGUUCAACAGAGAGCCAAGUAAAGAUUUCUUGCUUAGUAGAAGUUCUGAAAAUAGAAAGAGAUGUCUUAAACAGGGUGUUUUCGCUGAUCAGCAACCACAGGUUUCCUGUCCCCUUCCGCUUUGAAGAAUCCUGAUAGAAAAGAAAUCAUCCAGAUGAGCUUGUGAAAAAAAAAACAAACCAAACCAAACCAAAACAAAAAAAACCAAAACAACAAAGCAAACAAAC